Molecule: long non-coding RNA, 361 nt
Filed under: Solanum tuberosum (potato)
Lineage: Eukaryota; Viridiplantae; Streptophyta; Magnoliopsida; Solanales; Solanaceae
Description: long non-coding RNA (STUB_LNC007501)
Source: RNAcentral
UGUAAUACUAUGAUGUGGUCGUGAUAUGGUUGUGAUUGAGACAGAUGAUGUGUAAUACUAUGAUGUGGUCGUGAUAUGGUUGUGAUUGAGACAGAUGAUGUGUAAUACUAUGAUGUGAUCGUGAUAUGAUUGUGAUUGAUGACAUGUGCAUAUUCAUUAUUCAUCCCAUGUGUGAACUAUCUGUUGCAUGAGUUCUGAGACACUGAUAUGAGGAUGGAUGGAUAUGAGACACAGUUGAGACUAGCUCCGGCUAGAGAUAUAUAUGAGAUGGACUAGCUCCGGCUAGCGAUUUGGAUGCCGAUGGGAUCUGGUUCCGGCGGUGAUACAUGGUCCAUGUGUGGCCCCCAUGGGUUAUGAUUUG